Molecule: ribosomal RNA, 2285 nt
Filed under: Staphylococcus aureus
Lineage: Bacteria; Bacillati; Bacillota; Bacilli; Caryophanales; Staphylococcaceae
Description: bacterial LSU rRNA
Rfam family: Bacterial large subunit ribosomal RNA
Source: RNAcentral
AGGGCGCACGGUGGAUGCCUUGGCACUAGAAGCCGAUGAAGGACGUUACUAACGACGAUAUGCUUUGGGGAGCUGUAAGUAAGCUUUGAUCCAGAGAUUUCCGAAUGGGGAAACCCAGCAUGAGUUAUGUCAUGUUAUCGAUAUGUGAAUACAUAGCAUAUCAGAAGGCACACCCGGAGAACUGAAACAUCUUAGUACCCGGAGGAAGAGAAAGAAAAUUCGAUUCCCUUAGUAGCGGCGAGCGAAACGGGAAGAGCCCAAACCAACAAGCUUGCUUGUUGGGGUUGUAGGACACUCUAUACGGAGUUACAAAGGACGACAUUAGACGAAUCAUCUGGAAAGAUGAAUCAAAGAAGGUAAUAAUCCUGUAGUCGAAAAUGUUGUCUCUCUUGAGUGGAUCCUGAGUACGACGGAGCACGUGAAAUUCCGUCGGAAUCUGGGAGGACCAUCUCCUAAGGCUAAAUACUCUCUAGUGACCGAUAGUGAACCAGUACCGUGAGGGAAAGGUGAAAAGCACCCCGGAAGGGGAGUGAAAUAGAACCUGAAACCGUGUGCUUACAAGUAGUCAGAGCCCGUUAAUGGGUGAUGGCGUGCCUUUUGUAGAAUGAACCGGCGAGUUACGAUUUGAUGCAAGGUUAAGCAGUAAAUGUGGAGCCGUAGCGAAAGCGAGUCUGAAUAGGGCGUUUAGUAUUUGGUCGUAGACCCGAAACCAGGUGAUCUACCCUUGGUCAGGUUGAAGUUCAGGUAACACUGAAUGGAGGACCGAACCGACUUACGUUGAAAAGUGAGCGGAUGAACUGAGGGUAGCGGAGAAAUUCCAAUCGAACCUGGAGAUAGCUGGUUCUCUCCGAAAUAGCUUUAGGGCUAGCCUCAAGUGAUGAUUAUUGGAGGUAGAGCACUGUUUGGACGAGGGGCCCCUCUCGGGUUACCGAAUUCAGACAAACUCCGAAUGCCAAUUAAUUUAACUUGGGAGUCAGAACAUGGGUGAUAAGGUCCGUGUUCGAAAGGGAAACAGCCCAGACCACCAGCUAAGGUCCCAAAAUAUAUGUUAAGUGGAAAAGGAUGUGGCGUUGCCCAGACAACUAGGAUGUUGGCUUAGAAGCAGCCAUCAUUUAAAGAGUGCGUAAUAGCUCACUAGUCGAGUGACACUGCGCCGAAAAUGUACCGGGGCUAAACAUAUUACCGAAGCUGUGGAUUGUCCUUUGGACAAUGGUAGGAGAGCGUUCUAAGGGCGUUGAAGCAUGAUCGUAAGGACAUGUGGAGCGCUUAGAAGUGAGAAUGCCGGUGUGAGUAGCGAAAGACGGGUGAGAAUCCCGUCCACCGAUUGACUAAGGUUUCCAGAGGAAGGCUCGUCCGCUCUGGGUUAGUCGGGUCCUAAGCUGAGGCCGACAGGCGUAGGCGAUGGAUAACAGGUUGAUAUUCCUGUACCACCUAUAAUCGUUUUAAUCGAUGGGGGGACGCAGUAGGAUAGGCGAAGCGUGCGAUUGGAUUGCACGUCUAAGCAGUAAGGCUGAGUAUUAGGCAAAUCCGGUACUCGUUAAGGCUGAGCUGUGAUGGGGAGAAGACAUUGUGUCUUCGAGUCGUUGAUUUCACACUGCCGAGAAAAGCCUCUAGAUAGAAAAUAGGUGCCCGUACCGCAAACCGACACAGGUAGUCAAGAUGAGAAUUCUAAGGUGAGCGAGCGAACUCUCGUUAAGGAACUCGGCAAAAUGACCCCGUAACUUCGGGAGAAGGGGUGCUCUUUAGGGUUAACGCCCAGAAGAGCCGCAGUGAAUAGGCCCAAGCGACUGUUUAUCAAAAACACAGGUCUCUGCUAAACCGUAAGGUGAUGUAUAGGGGCUGACGCCUGCCCGGUGCUGGAAGGUUAAGAGGAGUGGUUAGCUUCUGCGAAGCUACGAAUCGAAGCCCCAGUAAACGGCGGCCGUAACUAUAACGGUCCUAAGGUAGCGAAAUUCCUUGUCGGGUAAGUUCCGACCCGCACGAAAGGCGUAACGAUUUGGGCACUGUCUCAACGAGAGACUCGGUGAAAUCAUAGUACCUGUGAAGAUGCAGGUUACCCGCGACAGGACGGAAAGACCCCGUGGAGCUUUACUGUAGCCUGAUAUUGAAAUUCGGCACAGCUUGUACAGGAUAGGUAGGAGCCUUUGAAACGUGAGCGCUAGCUUACGUGGAGGCGCUGGUGGGAUACUACCCUAGCUGUGUUGGCUUUCUAACCCGCACCACUUAUCGUGGUGGGAGACAGUGUCAAGCGGGCAGUUUGACUGGGGCGGUCGCCUCCUAAAAGG